Molecule: ribosomal RNA, 502 nt
Filed under: uncultured bacterium
Lineage: Bacteria
Description: partial 16S ribosomal RNA
Rfam family: Bacterial small subunit ribosomal RNA
Source: RNAcentral
AUUGAACGCUGGCGGCGUGCUUAACACAUGUAAUUCGAUCGGUAACAGGUGUAGCAAUACAUGCUGACGAGAGGCGGACGGGUGAGGAAUAUUUGGGAAUCUGCCCAUCAGCGGGGGACAACCCGGGGAAACCCGGGCUAAUACCGCAUACGCUCUACGGAGGAAAGCCGGGGACCGCAAGGCCUGGCACUGAUGGAUGGGCCCAAAUCGGAUUAGCUAGUUGGCGGGGUAACGGCCCACCAAGGCGACGAUCCGUAGCUGGUCUGAGAGGACGAUCAGCCACAACGGAAAUGAGACCAGGUCCGCACUCCGACGGGAGGCAGCAGUGGGGAAUAUUGGGCAAUGGGGGAAACCCUGAUCCAGCGACGCCGCGUGGGAGAAGAAGGCCUGCGGGUUGUAAAGCCCUUUCGGUAGGGACAAAAGCUCUUGCUCUAAUAAUGCAAGAGGUUGACUUAACCUACAUAAGAAGCACCGGCUAACUCUGUGCCAGCCGCCGCCGUAA